This 1196-nucleotide ribosomal RNA is filed under the name Escherichia coli. RNAcentral describes it as "partial 23S ribosomal RNA". It matches the Rfam family "Bacterial large subunit ribosomal RNA", at positions 35 to 1268 of the family's 2925-position model. The record is from RNAcentral. Lineage: Bacteria; Pseudomonadati; Pseudomonadota; Gammaproteobacteria; Enterobacterales; Enterobacteriaceae.
GGCAGUCAGAGGCGAUGAAGGACGUGCUAAUCUGCGAUAAGCGUCGGUAAGGUGAUAUGAACCGUUAUAACCGGCGAUUUCCGAAUGGGGAAACCCAGUGUGAUUCGUCACACUAUCAUUAACUGAAUCCAUAGGUUAAUGAGGCGAACCGGGGGAACUGAAACAUCUAAGUACCCCGAGGAAAAGAAAUCAACCGAGAUUCCCCCAGUAGCGGCGAGCGAACGGGGAGCAGCCCAGAGCCUGAAUCAGUGUGUGUGUUAGUGGAAGCGUCUGGAAAGGCGUGCGAUACAGGGUGACAGCCCCGUACACAAAAAUGCACAUGCUGUGAGCUCGAUGAGUAGGGCGGGACACGUGGUAUCCUGUCUGAAUAUGGGGGGACCAUCCUCCAAGGCUAAAUACUCCUGACUGACCGAUAGUGAACCAGUACCGUGAGGGAAAGGCGAAAAGAACCCCGGCGAGGGGAGUGAAAAAGAACCUGAAACCGUGUACGUACAAGCAGUGGGAGCACAGAGCAAUCUGUGUGACUGCGUACCUUUUGUAUAAUGGGUCAGCGACUUAUAUUCUGUAGCAAGGUUAACCGAAUAGGGGAGCCGAAGGGAAACCGAGUCUUAACUGGGCGUUAAGUUGCAGGGUAUAGACCCGAAACCCGGUGAUCUAGCCAUGGGCAGGUUGAAGGUUGGGUAACACUAACUGGAGGACCGAACCGACUAAUGUUGAAAAAUUAGCGGAUGACUUGUGGCUGGGGGUGAAAGGCCAAUCAAACCGGGAGAUAGCUGGUUCUCCCCGAAAGCUAUUUAGGUAGCGCCUCGUGAAUUCAUCUCCGGGGGUAGAGCACUGUUUCGGCAAGGGGGUCAUCCCGACUUACCAACCCGAUGCAAACUGCGAAUACCGGAGAAUGUUAUCACGGGAGACACACGGCGGGUGCUAACGUCCGUCGUGAAGAGGGAAACAACCCAGACCGCCAGCUAAGGUCCCAAAGUCAUGGUUAAGUGGGAAACGAUGUGGGAAGGCCCAGACAGCCAGGAUGUUGGCUUAGAAGCAGCCAUCAUUUAAAGAAAGCGUAAUAGCUCACUGGUCGAGUCGGCCUGCGCGGAAGAUGUAACGGGGCUAAACCAUGCACCGAAGCUGCGGCAGCGACGCUUAUGCGUUGUUGGGUAGGGGAGCGUUCUGUAAGCCUGCGAAGGUGUGCUGUGAGG